CUAUGUGACAAUAAGCUGAAAGUAACAUUUAAAUGAGAAAUGUGGUUAUUUUAAUUUUUUUUAUAGUUUAAAGAUGAUGUAAAAAAGUGUUUUGGGAAAGAAGGGCUUUGGCCUGUCUUCCCAAAGUACAAAUUGAAGUGUGUUUGUUCACAAGCCCUACAAAUAAUUACGGGACCACUGGAUUUAAGACCACCAUUAACCCAUCUGAUCAUGCCACACCCAGCUAUUGGGCACAGCCUCUCGUUAAUUAAUGGCUUUAGGUGGUCAGGGAAUAAUAGGAUGUAUAUGACUGUUAAUAACCCUAAAUCUCAAAAUGGUUUUUUUGUGCUAAUAUAUUGCUUAUUGACUGCUUAUUGAAUGUGAUCGUGUUAUAAGUCAACAGUUUAUAAAGAAGGCACCUGCUUUUUCAUAAAAGUGUUUGAAUAUUAGAGCAUAUGUAAGUGAGAGUGGCUUGAAAUUUCACUCCAGCCAAAUUAAACCAAAUUGCAGUUGUAGAAAGGAACUAAGUUUUACCCCAAAACAGCCUGUGAUCUAAUAGAAAAUAAUUUCCAGCAGCAGCACCCUCCAUCUGUGCCUUACUUGUGGUGUUAUGAAUUUGGCAACACCUCAGCAGUGAGCUACUGUUUAUAAGAAGAGAUCCCAGCAGCUAAAAGAAGCCAGUCAUUGGGAUGACUCACUACUUGCCUUGUGAACUGCUCAAGGGAAUUUCUUGAAGAACUAUGUCAAAAUCAGCUCUAGAAACCAUUAAUUUGAGAUCUUUCAUUGACACAUAACAAGUAUUCCCAGAUUAUUGUUGGUUAAGUUCGUGGGCUUGGAAGGAAGAUUCUUUUUGUCUGUACUGAGUGAAAAUUUUCCCCUUUUGUGCAAGGCAACAAGAGGAUAAAAAAGGCUUUUUUCCUCUCUGCAAGAAGAAAUCUGACGCAGUGUGAACCCAAUCAUCAAGGCACCAUGAACGCCUGCAGGAGGAUACAUUCUCUUCGUGCUCACAGGCAGAAAACCAACGGGAACAGAAGUGAGAACUGGCACAGCACCUCUGGGUUCAAGCACCAGCAAGGAGAUGAUCUUGUUACAGUCCAUACCCUUUACACAGUGAUCAUCGUGAUCCUUCUAAUGGCACUUUGGGGAGCCUGGUCAAGAAAGAAUUCAUCCUUAUAGAAGCAAUUUAGCAGCUUUCUUUGUCAAGUAUUUAAAUAAGUAAUUGUGUUGAUUACCCAUACCCAAGAAGUACAAAUAAUGGUCUCUGCCUAUUUCAAUUUACUUGAAACUGCUUAAAUGGUUGCUACUUGUGGAAGUGAAUUUAACAGACCAUGAUUUGUGAAUGACAGAUACCUGUUUGGCCUCUACAUGUGUAUAUUACCCUCAGCACGUAUAUGAAACUUUGAAGCACAAUAUUCUAGAAAGAAGAGUUCAACUUCUGUUUUAUUGGUCAACAUUUUGUAUGUCCACCCCAGCUUUCCAUUUUUGAGCUUAAACUGUGGAGUCUCUACCUCUGCUAAGAUUGCCUGUCCCAAUCCAUGGUAAAAUAUACACCAAAAGCAGGAAAAUAAUCUGCCAUGUCAUGACAACAUAAGAAAAAAAAUCAAUAAAACCGGCUAUCCUGCAGGCAAAGAAGGGUCUCUGAACAUGUGAAAUUCAUCUACGUCGCUGAAGAGACUUUAUACAGGACUUGCAUCCACAUAUUUUUAAUUUAUGGUAAUGAUUUUGUAAACUCAGGAAUAAAACCAUGAAAUAA
Pipra filicauda (Wire-tailed manakin) is the source of this 1732-nucleotide long non-coding RNA. RefSeq lists it as uncharacterized. NCBI's taxonomy places the organism in Eukaryota, Metazoa, Chordata, Aves, Passeriformes, Pipridae. The transcript has 2 exons. The record is from RefSeq and is a predicted model, not a curated record.